This 72-nucleotide transfer RNA is filed under the name Myotis dasycneme. RNAcentral describes it as "tRNA-Gly". It matches the Rfam family "tRNA". Rfam says of the family: Transfer RNA (tRNA) molecules are approximately 80 nucleotides in length. Their secondary structure includes four short double-helical elements and three loops (D, anti-codon, and T loops). Further hydrogen bonds mediate the characteristic L-shaped molecular structure. tRNAs have two regions of fundamental functional importance: the anti-codon, which is responsible for specific mRNA codon recognition, and the 3' end, to which the tRNAs corresponding amino acid is attached (by aminoacyl-tRNA synthetases). tRNAs cope with the degeneracy of the genetic code in two manners: having more than one tRNA (with a specific anti-codon) for a particular amino acid; and 'wobble' base-pairing, i.e. permitting non-standard base-pairing at the 3rd anti-codon position. Lineage: Eukaryota; Metazoa; Chordata; Mammalia; Chiroptera; Vespertilionidae. The record is from RNAcentral.
UAUUCUUUUAGUAUUAAUCAGUACAACUGACUUCCAAUCAGUUAGUCUUGGAAAAAUCCCAAGAAAGAAUAA